Molecule: non-coding RNA, 304 nt
Organism: Nomascus leucogenys (northern white-cheeked gibbon)
Lineage: Eukaryota; Metazoa; Chordata; Mammalia; Primates; Hylobatidae
Rfam family: Metazoan signal recognition particle RNA
About the family: The signal recognition particle (SRP) is a universally conserved ribonucleoprotein. It is involved in the co-translational targeting of proteins to membranes.
Source: Rfam
GCUAGGCACACCCCUAUGGUGGCAUAUGUCUACAGUUCUAGCUACUGGGAAGCCUGAGGCGGGAGGCUUGCUUUAGCCCUGGAGUUCUAGGCGACAGUGCACUAUGCCCAUUGGGUGUCUGCAGCAAGUUCAGCUUCAACAGGGUGACCUUCCGGGAGCAGGACCACCACGUUGCCUAAGAGGGGUGAACCUGUCCAAGUUGGAAAGGAGUGGAUCCAAACUCCUGAGCUGAUCAGUAGUGGGACCGUGCCUGUGAGCAGCCACAGUACUCCAGCCUGGGCAACAUAGCAAGACCCUGUCUCUU